ACAAACAUAUUAUGUAUGAGUAAUCUAUGUCGAUCUCACUAAAG
RNAcentral lists this transfer RNA (44 nucleotides) under Hylodesmum podocarpum. RNAcentral's name for it is "partial tRNA-Glu". The record is from RNAcentral. Lineage: Eukaryota; Viridiplantae; Streptophyta; Magnoliopsida; Fabales; Fabaceae.